RNAcentral lists this ribosomal RNA (422 nucleotides) under uncultured bacterium. RNAcentral describes it as "bacterial SSU rRNA". It matches the Rfam family "Bacterial small subunit ribosomal RNA", at positions 362 to 775 of the family's 1533-position model. The record is from RNAcentral.
UUUUCCGCAAUGGGCGAAAGUCUGACGGAGCAACGCCGCGUGAGUGAUGAAGGUUUUCGGAUCGUAAAGCUCUGUUGUUAGGGAAGAACAAGUGCCGUUCAAAUAGGGCGGCACCUUGACGGUACCUAACCAGAAAGCCACGGCUAACUACGUGCCAGCAGCCGCGGUAAUACGUGGGUGGCAAGCGUUGUCCGGAAUUAUUGGGCGUAAAAGGCUCGCAGGCGGUUUCUUAAGUCUGGUGUAAAAGCCCCCGGCUCAACCGGGGAGGGUCAUUGGAAACUGGGGAACUUGAGUGCAGAAGAGGAGGGUGGAAUUCCACGUGCAGCGGUGAAAUGCGUAGAGAUGUGAAGGAACACCAGUGGCGAAGGCGACUCUCUGGUCUGUAACUGACGCUGAGGAGCGAAAGCGUGGGGAGCGAACAG